RNAcentral lists this transfer RNA (82 nucleotides) under Candidatus Peribacteraceae bacterium. RNAcentral's name for it is "tRNA-Leu". The record is from RNAcentral. Lineage: Bacteria; Candidatus Peregrinibacteriota; Candidatus Peribacteria; Candidatus Peribacterales.
GGCCGAUUGGCGGAACUGGUAGACGCGCACGACUCAAAAUCGUGUCCCGCAAGGGGUUUCAGUUCGACUCUGAAAUCGGCCA